UACGUACUGGGCGAACGUUAAUCGGAAUUACUGGGCGUAAAGCGCACGCAGGCGGUCUGUCAAGUCGGAUGUGAAAUCCCCGGGCUCAACCUGGGAACUGCAUCCGAAACUGGCAGGCUAGAGUCUUGUAGAGGGGGGUAGAAUUCCAGGUGUAGCGGUGAAAUGCGUAGAGAUCUGGAGGAAUACCGGUGGCGAAGGCGGCCCCCUGGACAAAGACUGACGCUCAGGUGCGAAAGCGUAGGGAGCGAACAGG
This 253-nucleotide unclassified non-coding RNA is filed under the name uncultured Enterobacteriaceae bacterium. Its description in RNAcentral is "contains 16S-23S intergenic spacer region". It matches the Rfam family "Bacterial small subunit ribosomal RNA", at positions 524 to 776 of the family's 1533-position model. Lineage: Bacteria; Pseudomonadati; Pseudomonadota; Gammaproteobacteria; Enterobacterales; Enterobacteriaceae. The record is from RNAcentral.